RNAcentral lists this transfer RNA (73 nucleotides) under Ursus americanus (American black bear). It matches the Rfam family "tRNA". From Rfam's summary of the family: Transfer RNA (tRNA) molecules are approximately 80 nucleotides in length. Their secondary structure includes four short double-helical elements and three loops (D, anti-codon, and T loops). The record is from Rfam by way of RNAcentral. RNAcentral also lists the same sequence under 2 other names. Lineage: Eukaryota; Metazoa; Chordata; Mammalia; Carnivora; Ursidae.
ACCUGGCUGGCUCAGUCAGUGGAGCAAGUAACUCCUAAUCUCUGUGUUGUGGGUUCGAGCCCCACGUUGGGUG